This 253-nucleotide ribosomal RNA is filed under the name uncultured bacterium. RNAcentral describes it as "partial 16S ribosomal RNA". It matches the Rfam family "Bacterial small subunit ribosomal RNA", at positions 524 to 776 of the family's 1533-position model. The record is from RNAcentral.
GACGUAGGGGGCGAGCGUUGUCCGGAUUUAUUGGGCGUAAAGCGUGCGUAGGCGGCUGCGCAAGUCGGGUGUGAAACCCCGGGGCUCAACCCCGGAGCUGCAUCCGAUACUGCGUGGCUAGAGGUAGGUAGGGGAGAUCGGAAUUCCUGGUGUAGCGGUGAAAUGCGCAGAUAUCAGGAGGAACACCGGUGGCGAAGGCGGAUCUCUGGGCCUUACCUGACGCUCAGGCACGAAAGCUAGGGGAGCGAACAGG